RNAcentral lists this ribosomal RNA (551 nucleotides) under Phyllachora cerradensis. Its description in RNAcentral is "SSU rRNA". The stretch from base 1 to 423 matches the Rfam family "Bacterial small subunit ribosomal RNA", at positions 398 to 873 of the family's 1533-position model. The record is from RNAcentral. Lineage: Eukaryota; Fungi; Ascomycota; Sordariomycetes; Phyllachorales; Phyllachoraceae.
UAAGUAAAGGAGGGAUCCGAUGAAUUCGGAGUAAAAUUCUAUGUGCAUAUUGAUUAUGACAAUAUGUUUAUAAGUCUUGACUAAUUACGUGCCAGCAGUCGCGGCAAUACGUAUGAGACGAGUGUUAUUCAUCUUUAAUAGGUUUAAAGGGUACUUAGACGGUUUAAUUAGCCAAAGCGGUACAAUUAAUCUAGAGUUUUAUAUAAGAAGGUAGUACUCUUGAGUGUAGUGAUGAAAUACUUUGAUACCUUGGGGACUGGUAAAGGCGAAGGCAACCUUUUAUCUUAAAACUGACGUCAAAGGACGAAGGCUUAGAGCACUAACGGGAUUUGGUACCCCAGUAGUCUUUGCAGAAAAUUCUGAAUGUCAUAGGUUAGGUAAUAGAUAUCCAGGCUAGAGGGUGGAUGUUUAAUAUCUUCCACUUUAAGUACAGGUUGAUAACAGUAUAUACCUAAUGGGUCGGGCGCCAUGCAUCUUCAUCAAAAGAUGCAUGGCACCCGACCAGUGUAUAAUACUGUUGUCGACCUGAGCGUAGAGAGGAAGAUAUUAAA